RNAcentral lists this unclassified non-coding RNA (1623 nucleotides) under Acanthaster planci (crown-of-thorns starfish). RNAcentral's name for it is "serine/arginine-rich splicing factor 7-like, transcript variant X2". The record is from RNAcentral. Lineage: Eukaryota; Metazoa; Echinodermata; Asteroidea; Valvatida; Acanthasteridae.
GACCAUUAGCCGUAAUUGUAUAUGUAACCAGCUUUAGGGUACCGGGUACCUCGGUUUGGGUAUCAGUUUUCUCUGAGAGACGCGAGGAGAGCUGGCGCAUUCCACAUAAACUACUGUGGGCCACACGUCAAGAUGUCGCGCUACGAACAAAACAACUGCAAGGUGUACGUGGGCAACCUCAGUGACUAUGGAAAUGCCAAAGAGCUGGAGGCGGCUUUCGGUGUGUAUGGGCCUCUGAAGCACGUGUGGGUGGCCAAAAAGCCACCUGGCUUUGCCUUUGUGGAGUUUGAGGAGCCCCGAGACGCUUUGGACUCAGUGAAAGGCCUGAACGACACCGUGAUUUGUUCCCGCCGUGUGGAGGUUGAAAUGGCUACUGGGGAGAAGCGUGGCGGCCGAAACCGUGACCGUCGCAGCGGCGGGUACGGCGGCAAUUAUGGCAGCCGCUACCCCCCCCGCCGCUCGUACAACGAUGACAAAUGCUAUGAGUGUGGCAAGCCGGGCCACUUUGCCCGAGACUGCCCCUACAACAGGCGCCAGAGGUACUCGCGAUCCAGGACAUCUAAACUUCUAGCCCAUACACUUGUAGAUCGGGCAUAUCGGUUCCGGCAAGCUAGCUCAUUGCGGCCAAAUAUCGUGUGUCCGCUGGUCUCGAUUUGUACCCGCAAGUCCUGAACGUCAGGUCGUUGUGCCCGUCUAGUCCGAUUCUGUUUGCCAGCGAGCUUUCGGGUGACUGCUAGCUAUGCUUCCCCCCUUCUCUUCAGAUAUCGGCUACUUCGGCGCCACUUCCGACAAUAGCUUCACUUUUGCCCGCCAGCGUUUGUUGCUGCUGCAAAAUUCGUGAAACCACAAGUUGCGAUCAUCACUUUAUCCCUCUGCGAGUCUUAAGUCCCGGCUACUAGAUACUUUGUAAAUUGGCUUCAUUGAUUUGAAACCUGCCUUCUUCAAGGUACACAGUACUCCAACUACACUUCCGACAAUAGCUGCAUUUACCCUCCAAGCGUUUGCUUCUCCCGACCAAUUUGUGAAACCACAAGCUACAACCUCCAUUCUGUCCCCCCCCCCAAAAAAAAACUCCUAGAUAUUAACCAAGGCAACUACAAUCAAAAUCUUGCCACGUCAAGCUAAGGUAUCCUCCAACUACAUCUCCUACAGUCGCUGCACUUAAACCUGCGAGCGUUUUCUACUGCUGCAAAAUUUGUGAAGGCAGAAGUUACGACCUCCAUUUUUACCCUCCAACGAGUGCUUGUCCAAAACAUCCAGACACCUGUGAGCCAGUUAGCUACAGGCGAUCGAAAUCCCUGCGCCCUCACUUAAGCUACACAUCUUGACAGCAACCUUCAAACGUUGCAUGUUCGCACAAUCUACCCACAAGUUCUCCACAUCCCUUUCCACCGAGUACACGUACCGGGUACAUGCCCAUUGUCUUGCACCCCCCCUGCAAGCGACUUCAGCGGCAGUCGUUAAGUACUCCCAGCCAAAUUCACAAAGAAAAUUUGCCGUCCUCGUGGCCUGGUCAAAUCUACAUGAGCAUGUCGAGAUCGUAUGAUCGCUAUAACUCACGCAACAGGCGUUACUCACGUAGCCGAAGCCGCAGCCGCUCCAGGUCUUACCACAGCCCCUACC